UACAGAUAGCUAUAGAUAAAUUCUUAAAAAAUUCUUAGGUGAGUCCACACUUCUUUCCUUAAAAGAAGCCCACAAUACUUUCAUAUUUUGCCUUCUGUACACCUUUAUCUUCCACCUUCUUCAUCAAGAAGCCAUGGCAGAAUCAAUCUUGUUUACCAUUGUAGCAGAGAUUAUUGUAAAAUUGGGUUCGCGACCAUUUCAAGCAAAUACCAUGUGGAUUGGUGUCAAAGAUGAGCUUGAAAAAUUCAAGACAACAGUGUCAACGAUCCAAGCUGUGCUUCUUGAUGCUGAGGAGCAGUACUCAAAAAGUAAUCAAGUCAGAGUUUGGGUUGAUUCACUGAAGGAAGUGUUUUAUGAUGCUGAGGACUUGUUGGAUGAACUUUCUACAGAAGUUCUGCAGCAACAAACGGUGACUGGUAAUAAGAUGGCUAAGGAGGUACGUCGUUUUUUUUCUAGUUCAAACCAGGUUGCUUUUGGUCUUAAAAUGACUCAUAAGAUUAAGGCUGUUAGAGAUAGACUUGAUGUGAUUGUAGCUAAUAGGAAGUUUCAUUUAGAGGAGCGUAGAGUAGAGGCCAAUCAUGUGAUCAUGUCUAGGGAAAGAGAGCAAACUCACUCCUCUCCACCAGAAGUUAUUGUUGGGAGAGAAGAAGAUAAACAAGCAAUUAUAGAGUUGUUGAUGGCUUCUAAUUAUGAAGAGAAUGUGGUAGUGAUUCCAAUAGUUGGUAUUGGAGGGUUAGGAAAGACCACUUUGGCUCAACUUGUGUACAAUGAUGAGAGGGUUAAAACCCAUUUCAAGUCAAGUAGUUGGGUUUGUGUUUCUGAUGAUUUUGAUGUGAAAAUAAUAGUUCAAAAAAUUUUGGAGUCUGUUACUGGUGAUAGAUGUUUUAGUUUUGAGAUGGAUACUCUGAAAAAUCGUCUUCAUGAGACAAUUAAUGGGAAAAGAUUUUUGCUUGUUUUAGAUGAUAUAUGGUGUGAUAAUUUUGAGACAUGGUGUCGUUUGAGAGAUUUGUUAGUCGGUGGUGCUAGAGGAAGUAGAAUAAUCAUAACCACUAGAAUUAAGAAGGUUGCGGAGAUAGUUAGCACAAAUCAGCCAUAUGAGUUAGAAGGCCUUUCUGACAUGGACUCUUGGUCUUUGUUCAAACUAAUGGCAUUUAAACAAGGGAAGGUGCCAAGUCCUAGUUUUGAUGCUAUCGGGAGGGAGAUUGUGGGGAAAUAUGUUGGAGUUCCCCUGGCCAUUAGAGCAAUAGGACGCUUAUUGUAUUUCAAGAAUGCAUCUGAGUGGCUAUCCUUCAAAAAUAAGGAGCUCUCGAAUGUGGAUCUGAAAGAGAAUGACAUUUUGUCCACUUUGAAGUUGAGUUAUGAUCAUCUCCCCCCACGUUUGAGACAUUGCUUUGCUUAUUGUAGAAUAUUUCCAAAAGGGUCUAAGAUUAAUGUCAAGAAAUUGGUUUAUCUUUGGAUGGCACAAGGAUAUAUCAAGUCGUCCGAUCCAAGUCAAUGUCUUGAAGAUGUUGGCUUUGAAUAUUUUAAUGAUCUUCUUUGGAGGUCUUUUUUCCAAGAAGUAGAGAAGGAUCAUUUUGGAAAUAUUAAUAUAUGUAGAAUACAUGAUCUUAUGCAUGAUCUUUGUUGGUCAGUGGUUGGUUCAGGAAGUAAUUUAUCAUCUUCAAAUGUGAAAUAUGUCAGUAAAGGAACUCGACAUGUAUCGAUUGAUUAUUGUAAGGGAGCUAUGCUUCCCAGUUUGCUAGAUGUAAGAAAAAUGCGGACUUUUUUCUUGUCAAAUGAACCGGGGUAUAAUGGAAAUAAAAACCAAGGCCUUGAAAUCAUUUCCAAUUUAAGGAGAGUAAGGGCAUUAGAUGCACACAAUUCUGGAAUUGUGAUGGUUCCUCGUUCCCUUGAGAAGUUGAAGCAUAUAAGAUUUCUUGAUCUUUCAUACAAUACACGAAUUGAGACACUUCCUGAUUCCAUAACUAAACUGCAAAACCUGCAAGUGCUCAAACUAGCAGGAUUGAGAAGGCUGAAGCAACUGCCUAAGGACAUCAAGAAGUUGGUGGAUCUGAUGCAUCUUGACCUUUGGAAAUGUGAUGGUUUGACUCACAUGCCCCCUGGGCUUGGUCAAUUGACUUCCCUUAGCUACUUGUCGAGAUUCCUAGUGGCCAAAGAUGAUGGCGUCUCCAAGCAUGUUAGUGGACUUGGCGAGUUAUGCGAUUUGAAUAAUUUGAGAGGAUUGCUAGAAAUCAUGAAUCUGCAGAAUGUGAAAAAUCCAGCAUCAGAGUUUAGGACAGCUAAUCUGAAAGAGAAGCAGCACCUUCAAACAUUGAAACUGACAUGGAAAUCAGGUGAUGAGGAUGAUAAUACUGCAAGUGGUUCAAAUGAUGACGUGUCAUUGGAAGAGCUACAGCCACACGAGAAUCUCCAAUGGCUAGACGUGCGUGGGUGGGGAAGAUUGAGGUUUCCAAGCUGGGUUGCUUCACUCACUAGUUUGGUGGAACUUCGAAUUGAUAACUGCAUAAACUGCCAAAAUCUCCCACCUCUAGAUCAGUUCCCUUCUCUUAAACAUUUGACACUUGAUAAAUUAAAUGAUUUGAAGUACAUUGAGAGUGGGAUAACUUAUGAUCGUGCAGAGUCAGGACCGGCAUUAUUUUUCCCUUCCCUAGAGAAGCUAUGGCUCAGAAAUUGUCCUAAUCUGAAGGGAUGGUGUAGGACUGAUACAUCAGCGCCUGAGUUAUUCCAGUUUCAUUGUCUUGCUUAUUUUGAAAUCAAGUCUUGUCCUAAUUUGACUUCAAUGCCACUGAUUCCAACUGUGGAAAGGAUGGUAUUUCAAAAUACCAGCAUCAAGUCGAUGAAGGACAUGUUAAAGUUGAAACUUUUGCUGCCACAAUCUGCCUCUUCUUCUUGUUCUUCUUCUUCUCUGUCUCCUUCUCUCGUACAAUUGAAAGAAUUGAGUAUUCAGAAAAUAGAGGAUCUAGACUUUCUACCAGAUGAGUUGCUGCAAAAUCUCACUUCCCUGCAACAGCUGGAUAUCAUAGAUUGUCCAAGAAUAACCACUCUAUCUCAUGAUAUGCAACAUUUGACCUCUCUUGAGGUUCUUAUCAUCAGGGCUUGUAAGGAGCUAGAUUUAUCAUCAGAGCAGUGGCAGUGCCUCAGAAGCCUCAGGAAGCUUCGCAUUGUAAAUCUAGCGAAGUUGGUGUCACUGCAUCAAGGCCUUCAACAUGUUACCACUUUGCAACAACUCGAAAUCUGUAGUUGUCCCAUUUUGGGGACUUUACCCGAGUGGAUCAGUGGCCUCACGACAUUGCGACAUUUGGAGAUCAAUGAAUGUCCUCUUCUUUCACAGAAAUGCAGUAACAAUAAGGGAGAGGAUUGGUCCAAGAUUGCUCAUAUUCCAAAUAUCAAAAUUGAUGGGAGAUGGAUUCAAUUGAAGGGCUACUACGAACUGUGACUAGAAGAUUUAUUUGGACAUUUUUCAGUUUCUUUUUUUUAUAUCAGGUAUAAAUAUGUCUUGCGGUGGUCUUUCUUAAAUCCAAAAGAUGAUGAAGCUUCAAAACUUUAGGAUGGCUUUCAUUGCCUAGUUUUGUAGGAAAACAAUAUACAGAGGUUGCCCCAGUUUAUAGUUAUUUCAAAGCUUCUCACUACAAGAAGCAUGAUCUGUUUGGCAUGGAAUGUUCCUCUUUCUUGCUAGUUGCUGCUUGUCAACAGUGCAGGAUUGCAGGACACCUUUGGUGAUGACUAUGUUAGGAUUGCUUUCAGAAUUUAUUAAAGCUGCUAGUUGACAUCUCUUUCAGAAGGGAAGAUGGGAAGGAAGUUGGUAAUCGUUUAUCAUCAAGAGGAGUUAACACGAAUUCAUUCAUCAAUCUGUGUGGUGGAGGCCAUCGUUAUUGAUUACAUGAUCGUCGAGAUUUACUUACCUUCUUGAUCAUGAUUUGUCAGUUGAAUCAACAAGCUGUCUUAUGCAGUUCUUUUAGAGAAUAGCAACCUACUGGCAUCUUAGUAUUCAGAGAUUUAGAUGCUGAAACACCAUAUGCAUGGUACCCAAAGAUUGCUCAAAUUUCAAACGUUGAGAUUCACUGCACCAAUGAUUAAACUAGUUUGGUUCUAGGAAUGGAUUCUGAACUCAUCUGUGUAAUGUUCUACAAGUUCAAUUCAAGAACUAUUUCUAUUCCAUGUUUACUUUUGUUUAGAAUUUCAGUUAUUGGUUACCCAAAAUAAAUUUUGGAAUGUUUUGACAGAUAUCCAACCUGAUAUAAAAUCCAUUUUUAGAGUUUGUUUUGCUGAAA
Ricinus communis (castor bean) is the source of this 4271-nucleotide RNA transcript. It is a transcript of the gene named putative disease resistance protein RGA4, with no coding region annotated. NCBI's taxonomy places the organism in Eukaryota, Viridiplantae, Streptophyta, Magnoliopsida, Malpighiales, Euphorbiaceae. The transcript has 5 exons. The record is from RefSeq and is a predicted model, not a curated record.